GCUCUAGUAGUUUAAUAGUUAGAAUUUUAGAUUAUAAUUCUAAAGGUUCUAGAUUCGAAUCCUAAUUAAAGUA
This 73-nucleotide transfer RNA is filed under the name Opeltia flavorubescens. RNAcentral's name for it is "tRNA-Tyr (ATA) (tRNA-Tyr-ATA-10-1)". It matches the Rfam family "tRNA". Rfam says of the family: Transfer RNA (tRNA) molecules are approximately 80 nucleotides in length. Their secondary structure includes four short double-helical elements and three loops (D, anti-codon, and T loops). Further hydrogen bonds mediate the characteristic L-shaped molecular structure. tRNAs have two regions of fundamental functional importance: the anti-codon, which is responsible for specific mRNA codon recognition, and the 3' end, to which the tRNAs corresponding amino acid is attached (by aminoacyl-tRNA synthetases). tRNAs cope with the degeneracy of the genetic code in two manners: having more than one tRNA (with a specific anti-codon) for a particular amino acid; and 'wobble' base-pairing, i.e. permitting non-standard base-pairing at the 3rd anti-codon position. The record is from RNAcentral. Lineage: Eukaryota; Fungi; Ascomycota; Lecanoromycetes; Teloschistales; Teloschistaceae.